RNAcentral lists this ribosomal RNA (468 nucleotides) under uncultured bacterium. Its description in RNAcentral is "partial 16S ribosomal RNA". It matches the Rfam family "Bacterial small subunit ribosomal RNA", at positions 28 to 507 of the family's 1533-position model. The record is from RNAcentral.
GACGAACGCUGGCGGCGUGCUUAACACAUGCAAGUCAAACGGAAAGGCCCUGCUUUUGUGGGGUGCUCGAGUGGCGAACGGGUGAGUAACACGUGAGUAACCUUCCCUUGACUUUGGGAUAACUUCAGGAAACUGGGGCUAAUACCGGAUAGGAGCUCCUGCUGCAUGGUGGGGGUUGGAAAGUUUCGGCGGUUGGGGAUGGACUCGCGGCUUAUCAGCUUGUUGGUGGGGUAGUGGCUUACCAAGGCUUUGACGGGUAGCCGGCCUGAGAGGGUGACCGGCCACAUUGGGACUGAGAUACGGCCCAGACUCCUACGGGAGGCAGCAGUGGGGAAUAUUGCACAAUGGGCGGAAGCCUGAUGCAGCAACGCCGCGUGCGGGAUGACGGCCUUCGGGUUGUAAACCGCUUUCGCCUGUGACGAAGCGUGAGUGACGGUAAUGGGUAAAGAAGCACCGGCUAACUACGUG